ACGGGAGGCAGCAGUGGGGAAUAUUGGACAAUGGGGGAAACCCUGAUCCAGCGACGCCGCGUGAGUGAAGAAGUAUUUCGGUAUGUAAAGCUCUAUCAGCAGGGAAGAUAAUGACGGUACCUGACUAAGAAGCCCCGGCUAACUACGUGCCAGCAGCCGCGGUAAUACGUAGGUGGCAAGCGUUAUCCGGAAUUACUGGGUGUAAAGGGAGCGUAGGCGGGCAGACAAGUCAGAUGUGAAAUACCGAGGCUUAACUUCGGGGCUGCAUUUGAAACUGUAUGUCUUGAGUGGUGUAGAGGUAAGCGGAAUUCCUAGUGUAGCGGUGAAAUGCGUAGAUAUUAGGAGGAACACCAGUGGCGAAGGCGGCUUACUGGGCACUUACUGACGCUGAGGCUCGAAAGUGUGGGGAGCAAACAGGAUUAGAUACCCUGGUA
This 434-nucleotide ribosomal RNA is filed under the name uncultured bacterium. RNAcentral describes it as "partial 16S ribosomal RNA". It matches the Rfam family "Bacterial small subunit ribosomal RNA", at positions 341 to 792 of the family's 1533-position model. The record is from RNAcentral.